CUAGAUACGCUCAGUCGUCGCUAGCUUCGAUCAACAGACAGACGCCUUGAUCGCGCAUCAAUGGAUUUGUAUCACAUGAAAAUGUCCGGACCGUGCCAAGCGGUCCGACUUGUGGCCAAAGCGCUGAAUCUACAUCUGAAUCUGAUAAACGUCGAUCUGGGCAAGGAGGAGCAGCUAAAGCCGGAGUUUAUCAAGAUCAAUCCGCAGCAUGUAAUCCCAACCCUGGUGGACGACGGCUUCAUCCUGUGGGAGUCUCGGGCUAUUCUGGCCUACUUAUGCGAAAAAUACGCCAAGGAAGACUCCCUCUACCCGCGGCAUCCCCAAAAACGAGCCGUCAUCAACCAGCGACUGUACUUCGACAUGGGAACCCUGUACCAGCGAUUCGCUCUCCACUACUACCCGCAGGUUCUCGAAGGGAAACCAGCUCCCGAAGGUACCUUCAAGCAGUUCGAGGAUGCGCUCCAAUUCCUGGAAACCUUUCUCGCCCAGUCCAAAUACCUCGCCGGAGAUUCACUCACGAUUGCCGAUAUAUCUCUACUGGCGACGAUCACGACCUUUAAGGUCGCCGCCGGACUCGAUCUGUCCCGGUACGGCAAUAUCGAGCGUUGGUACGGACUCGUGUCCGCCAGUGUGGCCGGCCACGACGAAAUCUGCGUGCAGGGUUCCAAGCAGUUCGCGCCGUUCUUUAUCAAUGCGAAGCAGUAGGCGUGGGAAUGUAAAGAGUGCUGACGUCAUAAGUUAAGCAAGGCAGUUUGAUUUGUUUGUGAGAAUCAUGAUAAGUUUUGGACAGAUUUGUUGAAUCGCUGCAUUCAGAACAUCGCAGAAAUCACGUCAUCAUAUUUGCCUUCUCAUGACUUGCAAAAAACAUCACACCAGAACAACCUGCGCUCAUGAAGAGUC
This is an RNA transcript of Culex pipiens pallens (northern house mosquito), 900 nucleotides long. It is a transcript of the gene named glutathione S-transferase 4-like, with no coding region annotated. The transcript has 3 exons. Lineage: Eukaryota; Metazoa; Arthropoda; Insecta; Diptera; Culicidae. The record is from RefSeq and is a predicted model, not a curated record.